RNAcentral lists this ribosomal RNA (460 nucleotides) under uncultured bacterium. RNAcentral describes it as "partial 16S ribosomal RNA". It matches the Rfam family "Bacterial small subunit ribosomal RNA", at positions 338 to 795 of the family's 1533-position model. The record is from RNAcentral.
CCUACGGGGGGCAGCAGUGAGGAAUAUUGGUCAAUGGACGAGAGUCUGAACCAGCCAAGUAGCGUGAAGGAUGACUGCCCUAUGGGUUGUAAACUUCUUUUAUAUGGGAAUAAAAUGUUCCACGUGUGGGAUUUUGUAUGUACCAUAUGAAUAAGGAUCGGCUAACUCCGUGCCAGCAGCCGCGGUAAUACGGAGGAUCCGAGCGUUAUCCGGAUUUAUUGGGUUUAAAGGGAGCGUAGGUGGAUUGUUAAGUCAGUUGUGAAAGUUUGCGGCUCAACCGUAAAAUUGCAGUUGAAACUGGCAGUCUGGAGUACAGUAGAGGUGGGCGGAAGUCGUGGUGUAGCGGUGAAAUGCUUAGAUAUCACGAAGAACUCCGAUUGCGAAGGCAGCUCACUGGACUGCAACUGACGCUGAGGCACGAAAGUGUGGGGAACAAACAGGAUUAGAUACCCUUGUAGUC